This 802-nucleotide ribosomal RNA is filed under the name uncultured Bacteroidota bacterium. Its description in RNAcentral is "bacterial SSU rRNA". It matches the Rfam family "Bacterial small subunit ribosomal RNA", at positions 1 to 803 of the family's 1533-position model. The record is from RNAcentral. Lineage: Bacteria; Pseudomonadati; Bacteroidota.
GAUUAGAGUUUGAUCCUGGCUCAGGAUGAACGCUAGCGGCAGGCUUAACACAUGCAAGUCGAGGGGUAACAGGGGAGCUUGCUUCUGCUGACGACCGGCGCACGGGUGCGUAACGCGUAUAGAAUCUGCCUCAUACUGAGGGAUAGCCUUUGGAAACGAAGAUUAAUACCUCAUAGUAUAUCGACUCGGCAUCGGGAUGAUAUUAAAGGUUACGGUAUGAGAUGACUAUGCGUCCUAUUAGCUUGUUGGUAAGGUAACGGCUUACCAAGGCUACGAUAGGUAGGGGCCCUGAGAGGGGGAUCCCCCACACUGGUACUGAGACACGGACCAGACUCCUACGGGAGGCAGCAGUGAGGAAUAUUGGACAAUGGAGGCAACUCUGAUCCAGCCAUGCCGCGUGAAGGAUGACUGCCCUAUGGGUUGUAAACUUCUUUUAUAUAGGAAGAAACAGUUUCUCGUGAGAAACCUUGACGGUACUAUAUGAAUAAGCACCGGCUAACUCCGUGCCAGCAGCCGCGGUAAUACGGAGGGUGCAAGCGUUAUCCGGAAUCAUUGGGUUUAAAGGGUCCGUAGGCGGAUAGAUAAGUCAGAGGUGAAAUCCUGCAGCUCAACUGUAGAAUUGCCUUUGAAACUGUUUAUCUUGAGUUAUUGUGAAGUGGUUAGAAUAUGUAGUGUAGCGGUGAAAUGCUUAGAGAUUACAUGGAAUACCGAUUGCGAAGGCAGAUCACUAACAAUAUACUGACGCUGAUGGACGAAAGCGUGGGGAGCGAACGGGAUUAGAUACCCCGGUAGUCCACGCCGU